UCCCAUUUCUUCUUUCGCCCAUUUCAAAUGCAGCCCGUGAUCCCAGAGCCUCGCAGCCGUCUCCCCCUUUGGGAUUCAAGACCCCCCCUCCUUUGCAUCUGCAGCUCCUCCGCCUUAGCCCGCGCCUCCUCCUCCAGCAUCACGCAUCCGUGAAUGGCUCCUCCAGUGAUCCCAAGCGGCAAUCUCCCAGCCAAGAGUGC
This 200-nucleotide long non-coding RNA is filed under the name Phoenix dactylifera (date palm). RNAcentral's name for it is "long non-coding RNA (PDAC_LNC019251)". Lineage: Eukaryota; Viridiplantae; Streptophyta; Magnoliopsida; Arecales; Arecaceae. The record is from RNAcentral.